GGGGAAUAUUGCACAAUGGAGGGAACUCUGAUGCAGCAACGCCGCGUGAGCGAAGAAGGUUUUAGGAUCGUAAAGCUCUGUCCUAGGGGAAGAUAAUGACGGUACCCGAGGAGGAAGCCCCGGCUAACUACGUGCCAGCAGCCGCGGUAAUACGUAGGGGGCGAGCGUUGUCCGGAAUUAUUGGGCGUAAAGGGUGCGUAGGCGGCUGAACAAGUCAGAUGUGAAAGGUUAAGGCUUAACUUUAAUAAGCAUAUGAAACUGUUCAGCUUGAGUUAAGGAGAGGGGAGUGGAAUUCCUAGUGUAGCGGUGAAAUGCGUAGAUAUUAGGAGGAAUACCAGUGGCGAAGGCGACUCUCUGGACUUAAACUGACGCUGAGGCACGAAAGCGUGGGGAGCAAAC
This 399-nucleotide ribosomal RNA is filed under the name uncultured bacterium. RNAcentral describes it as "bacterial SSU rRNA". It matches the Rfam family "Bacterial small subunit ribosomal RNA", at positions 356 to 773 of the family's 1533-position model. The record is from RNAcentral.